CCUGGCUCCCAAGACAGCCAGAGUCUCUAGUCUCUAUGUGGCACUGUCCCAAUUUCAGGUCAUAAAGCAGAGUCCUACACGGCAGAAAUGGGGAGGAGACUGUGGAUGGACCCUGUGUGGCUCAUAGGCUGGGGACUUCUCCACAACAGUGAUUCCUAGGUCCCUCCCUCCCCUAUCCUAGUACAUCUGCUGCUCCUCAGACCCAAGUGGGCAACUGUCAAGGAGCCCAACAAAAACCCACUUUCCAACCUCAACUCCCUCCCGUCUGCUUCACACAUACAUACCUCCCAGGGCCUCACACACUGUUCCAUGGCGGGACAGAGACAGAGACGCUAACAUGCAAAUACAGACAAGGCUGUGGUCCCUGUCUGCCCCUCCCCCACUGCUUCCCCUUCUCUCCUCCAUCCAGGCCUUGCCCACAAUUAACUCAUUUUUUCAGAAUGCUUCCAAACAUAAGUCAACACUGGACAGAACUGUAGGAAAAGCUUCCUCAAUGCUGGCCGGGAAGAGCUGAGCCCUGUGGCCGGCUGAGCAGCAUGCCAGCCCCAGCCGCCUGCCCCCUCCACCCCAGAGCUGGGUUUGGAGCUGGGAUUGUGGGGAUGCCAAAUGCCUGGCGUCCCGGCCCAGGCACUAGAACAGGGACUGCUGACACCCCCAAGGACUGUUUCAGGGAUUCGUACAGACAUCCACUUCUCUGCCUCUUGCUCUGCUCCACUCUGCUUCUCCCCAGCUGUACCUUCAUUUAGGCCCAGCCUCCUUUCUACCUGAGGCUGAGGUAGGGUUCUGGCGGAAAGAGCACUGGCAGGACUAGGAGCAGCCUUAUUCCCAGGGGCCCUCAGGCUCUGCUGCCCGUGGAAUAGGAGGCUUCUCAGUUACCCGCAGCAGAAACCCAUGGAAUUGGCUAGUUCUGUGGACACCAGAGCCUCCACUGCCCCAGGCAGCCCUGGCACCUACCCCAUCUCCUGGGGACCCAAGAGGCUCCUGCUCCUCCUCUUUCCGUGCCAUAAAGCUCAUGCCCUCUGCUGGCCCACAGGGGCCAUGAAGGGUGUACUGGUCCCCAUCUUGAUUCUUUGGGUGGGGUGCUGCUCUGGAGAGGCCCUGGCCAAGCAGGGGCUGAGCACAAGAGAGUUCAUAGCCCCACCAGCACCAGCAGCUUUACCCAUCGUACAGCCACCACCCAGCAGCUCUAGAUCCUCCAACGGGAUCUCCUGUCAAUCUGGGCCAGGAGCCCUGCACCAACAGAAGGACUGGGAUAGACACCAGAACAAUGGCAGCAGCACCUCAGAGGCCACAGGCUGUGUGCAGAAAAAGCUAGGAAGCAGGCAAGGGCAAGGGCCUAGGCUGACAGAAAUGGGCACUACAGAGCAGUUUACGCCCUCCUCGCCGGCUUUGUGUCCACUGGCCCAGACAGCUAUUGCCUACCACAAGGUCAAAAUGAAACAUGCCCCCACCCUGGUGGAUCCUGGUCUGACAACCCUUUACCUAGAAGAUGGCUGGCCUCACUGUGGGUCCUGGUUGGCAGUGGAGCAAUGUCUUGCCCUGGGAGGUGAAGAGCAGCAAAGGGCAGGGGACGGGGCACUGGAUAUGGCUGCCCCAUGUGUGUACAGACAACAAAAUUGCCAAGAUUCUGGCCCACACGUUCCUGGGACUGCCCAACCUGGAGUGGCUGGAUCUGAGCAAGAACAAACUAGAGAGCCAAGGCCCGCACCCACAUGCCUUCGAGUCAUGCUGCAGUCCUUCUACCAACUAUCCAGGACCUGGAUGGGGUCUUACAUGUCUCAGAUGGCCCAAGAGAUUUGGAGGGACCAGGCCUUGGAGUCAAGGAGUCAGGGAUCCACCACAGACUAACAGGGGGCUUAUGGUGGCCCAACAGAAAGUGGCAAGGAAGCUGGAGACCCUUGACCCACGACCUGCUGGUACAUGUGCCUUCCUUCCUACCACAGAGCCUGAGGUGCCUGAUACUGUGUCACAACCUCAUUGAGUGCAUCCCAAACUACAUACUUGCACAUGUGAAGCCUGGUCUGGAGUUCCUACACCCGUCCCACAACAGGCUACAUGCUGAGGGCAUCCACAGAGUGUCCUUCUUGGGCCUGCACACCUCCCUGGCAGAGUUGCUGCUGGAUCACAAUCACUUGUAGGCCAUCCCACAUGGCCUCCUGGGGCUCAAGGGUCUGCAGGUGCUGCGUCUGAGCCACAAUAAGAUCAGGAUUCCAACCUUAUUGCCAUACAGCUGGACAACAACCUCAUUGACCUGCGCCGCAUCCCACCUACGGCCUUCUGAAUUCGAGCCCACCACAGUGUGGUCCUUCAGCCUCAGCAGAAAGAGGAAGGCUCCUAGUCCUACCCUACCUACUUUCCCUUCCCCAGUACUUAUUGGUUGGGGUACACCCAAGCCAAGCUCCACUUAAUCUUUGCACCACUGGGGAAAAGUUUUAAAUGCCCCUACUUCUUGGGAUAUACCUACUUCCCAUGAUUGAUGGAGGCCAUUUUACUCAGCAAAUGACCCAGUGGAAGCAAGGGGUGGGGCAGCACUGGCUUGUAAUUGACUGUAAUAAA
Nannospalax galili (Upper Galilee mountains blind mole rat) is the source of this 2556-nucleotide RNA transcript. RefSeq lists it as uncharacterized. NCBI's taxonomy places the organism in Eukaryota, Metazoa, Chordata, Mammalia, Rodentia, Spalacidae. The transcript is spliced from 8 exons. The record is from RefSeq and is a predicted model, not a curated record.